GAGGGGGCUAGCGUUGUUCGGAAUCAUUGGGCGUAAAGGGCGCGUAGGCGGCCGAUCAAGUCGGAGGUGAAAUCCCUCGGCUCAACUGAGGAAUUGCCUUCGAUACUGUUCGGCUUGAGUCCUGGAGAGGGUAGCGGAAUUCCCGGUGUAGCGGUGAAAUGCGUAGAGACCGGGAAGAACACCAGUGGCGAAGGCGGCUACCUGGACAGGUACUGACGCUGAAGCGCGAAAGCUAGGGGAGCAAACAGG
RNAcentral lists this ribosomal RNA (249 nucleotides) under uncultured bacterium. RNAcentral describes it as "partial 16S ribosomal RNA". It matches the Rfam family "Bacterial small subunit ribosomal RNA", at positions 528 to 776 of the family's 1533-position model. The record is from RNAcentral.